CGGAGCGUAGCGCAGCCAGGUAGCGCAAUAGUUUUGGGUACUAUGGGUCGUCUGUUCGAAUCAGACCGUUCCGACCA
RNAcentral lists this transfer RNA (77 nucleotides) under Rhizobium phage RHph_TM61. Its description in RNAcentral is "tRNA-Pro". It matches the Rfam family "tRNA". From Rfam's summary of the family: Transfer RNA (tRNA) molecules are approximately 80 nucleotides in length. RNAcentral also lists the same sequence under 5 other names. The record is from RNAcentral. Lineage: Duplodnaviria; Heunggongvirae; Uroviricota; Caudoviricetes; Kleczkowskaviridae.